Molecule: ribosomal RNA, 555 nt
Filed under: Phascolosoma esculenta
Lineage: Eukaryota; Metazoa; Annelida; Sipuncula; Phascolosomatiformes; Phascolosomatidae
Description: partial 16S ribosomal RNA
Rfam family: Bacterial large subunit ribosomal RNA
Source: RNAcentral
CGUUAUUGGGAGGCAUUGCCUGCCAGUGACAACUGUUUAACGGCCGCGGUAUCCUGACCGUGCAAAGGUAGCAUAAUCAUUUGUUCUCUAAAUAAGGACUUGUAUGAAUGGCCGCACGAGGGUUUUACUGUCUCUUACUUCCAAUCAGUGAAAUUGACCUUCCCGUGAAGAGGCGGGAAUGCACAAAUAAGACGAGAAGACCCUAUGGAGCUUUAACUAACCAACCCAAAGAGAAUAGAUUUAACCAUUAAGGAAUAACAACAAUCUCCAUGAGUUGGUAGUUUCGGUUGGGGUGACCUCGGAGAAUAAAAAAUCCUCCGAGCGAUUUUAAAGACUAGACCCACAAGUCAAAUCACUCUAUCGCUCAUUGAUCCAAAAACUUGAUCAACGGAACAAGUUACCCUAGGGAUAACAGCGCAAUCCUAUUCAAGAGUCCAUAUCGACAAUAGGGUUUACGACCUCGAUGUUGGAUCAGGACAUCCUGAUGGUGCAACCGCUAUCAAAGGUUCGUUUGUUCAACGAUUAAAGUCCUACGUGAUCUGAGUUCAGACCGGA